Molecule: ribosomal RNA, 427 nt
Filed under: uncultured bacterium
Lineage: Bacteria
Description: partial 16S ribosomal RNA
Rfam family: Bacterial small subunit ribosomal RNA
Source: RNAcentral
GUGGGGAAUAUUGGGCAAUGGGGGAAACCCUGACCCAGCGACGCCGCGUGAGGGAAGAAGGCCUUAGGGUCGUAAACCUCUGUUGUGUGGGAAGAAGAGCGUGACGGUACCACACGAGGAAGUCCCGGCUAACUACGUGCCAGCAGCCGCGGUAAUACGUAGGGGACGAGCGUUGUCCGGAUUUACUGGGCGUAAAGGGCGCGUAGGCGGUCAUUUAAGUCAGCUGUGAAAUGGUUUGGCUUAACCGGAUCAUGCGGUUGAAACUGGAUGACUGGAGUGCUGGAGAGGCAAGUGGAAUUCCCAGUGUAGCGGUGAAAUGCGUAGAUAUUGGGAAGAACACCGGUGGCGAAGGCGACUUGCUGGCCAGUAACUGACGCUGAGGCGCGAAAGCGUGGGGAGCAAACAGGAUUAGAAACCCCGGUAGUCC